GAUGAACGCUAGCUACAGGCUUAACACAUGCAAGUCGCGGGGCAGCAUGGGGGUUGCUUGCAAUCCCCGAUGGCGACCGGCGCACGGGUGAGUAACACGUAUCCAACCUGCCCUUCACCACGGGAUAACCCGGCGAAAGUCGGACUAAUACCGUAUGUUGUCCAUUGACGGCAUCCGAUUUGGACGAAAGGCUUGGCGGUGAGGGAUGGGGAUGCGUCCGAUUAGCCAGACGGCGGGGUAACGGCCCACCGUGGCUACGAUCGGUAGGGGUUCUGAGAGGAAGGUCCCCCACACUGGAACUGAGACACGGUCCAGACUCCUACGGGAGGCAGCAGUGAGGAAUAUUGGUCAAUGGGCGUAAGCCUGAACCAGCCAAGUAGCGUGCAGGAGGACGGCCCUAUGGGUGGUAAACUGCUUUUAUGCGGGGAUAAAGUGGCCCACGUGUGGGCUUUUGCAGGUACCGCAUGAAUAAGGACCGGCUAAUUCCGUG
Molecule: ribosomal RNA, 490 nt
Filed under: uncultured bacterium
Lineage: Bacteria
Description: partial 16S ribosomal RNA
Rfam family: Bacterial small subunit ribosomal RNA
Source: RNAcentral